Molecule: transfer RNA, 68 nt
Filed under: Silpha tyrolensis
Lineage: Eukaryota; Metazoa; Arthropoda; Insecta; Coleoptera; Silphidae
Description: tRNA-Glu
Source: RNAcentral
AUUUAUAUAGUUUAAUUUAAAACAUUAUAUUUUCACUAUAAAAUUAGAAUUUUAUUUUCUUAUAAAUA